Cyprinus carpio carpio is the source of this 1410-nucleotide long non-coding RNA. The record is from Ensembl. Lineage: Eukaryota; Metazoa; Chordata; Actinopteri; Cypriniformes; Cyprinidae.
UGGCAUACAGCUCAUGAAAACCCAAAAAUUCCUAUCUCAAAAAAACUUAGCAUAUUUCAUCCGACCAAUAAAAGAAAAGUGUUUUUAAUACAAAAAAAGUCAACCUUCAAAUAAUUAUGUUCAGUUAUGCACUCAAUACUUGGUCGGGAAUCCUUUUGCAGAAAUGACUGCUUCAGUGCGGCGUGGCAUGGAGGCAAUCAGCCUGUGGCACUGCUGAGGUGUUAUGGAGGCCCAGGAUGCUUCGAUAGCGGCCUUAACUUCACAAUAUCCCACAGAUUCUCUAUGGGGUUCAGGUCAGGAGAGUUGGCAGGCCAAUUGAGCACAGUAAUACCAUGGUCAGUAAACCAUUUACAAGUGGUUUUGGCACUGUGAGCAGGUGCCAGGUCGUGCUGAAAAACGAAAUCUUCAUCUCCAUAAAGCUUUUCAGCAGAUGGAAGCAUGAAGUGCUCCAAAAUCUCCUGAUAGCUAGCUGCAUUGACCCUGCCCUUGAUAAAACACAAUGGACCAACACCAGCAGCUGACAUGGCACCCCAGACCAUCACUGACUGUGGGUACUUGACACUGGACUUCAGGUAUUUUGGCAUUUCCUUCUCCCCAGUCUUCCUCCAGACUCUGGCACCUUGAUUUCCGAAUGACAUGCAAAAUUUGCUUUCAUCCGAAAAAAGUACUUUGGACCACUGAGCAACAGUCCAGUGCUGCUUCUCUGUAGCCCAGGUCAGGCGCUUCUGCCGCUGUUUCUGGUUCAAAAGCACACGCUUGUGCACAGUGGCUCUGGAUGUUUCUACUCCAGACUCAGUCCACUGCUUCCGCAGGUCCCCCAAGGUCUGGAAUCGGUCCUUCUACACAAUCUUCCUCAGGGUCCGGUCACCUCUUCUCGUUGUGCAGCGUUUUUUGCCACACUUUUUCCUUCCCACAGACUUCCCACUGAGGUGCCUUGAUACAGCACUUUGGGAACAGCCUAUGUGUUCAGAAAUUUCUUUCUGUGUCUUACCCUCUCGCUUGAGGGUGUCAAUGAUGGCCUUCUGGGUUAACCUCUUAACCAUGAUUGCGGUUUUGAGUAAUGAACCAGGCUGGGAGUUUUUAAAAGCCUCAGGAAUCUUUUGCAGGUGUUAAUUAGUUGAUUUAGAUGAUUAGGUUAAUAGCUCGUUUAGAGAACCUUUUCAUGAUAUACUAAUUUUUUGAGAUAGGAAUUUUGGGUUUUCAUGAGCUGUAUGCCAAAAUCAUCAGUAUUAAAACAAUAAAAGACCUGAAAUAUUUCAGUUGGUGUGCAAUGAAUCUAAAAUAUAUAAAGUUUAAUUUUAUCAUUACAUUAUGAAAAUAAUAAUUUUUCACAAUAUGCUAAUUUUUUUGAGAAGGACCUGUAUAUAUAUAUAUAUAUAUAUAUAUACUAUAUAUAACUAUAUAUAUAUA